AAGCAUGCUAUACAGGUUUUCUUUAAACUAUGUAUACAAAUGUAUAUUUUUAUCUACUAAUAUGUUGGGUAGAACAUGGGUAGACAGUUGGUGUGUAAUAAACAGAUGAGAGGCCUCGUUGUUGUUUGAUUGAGUCAUCUAGCGGAGUUUAGAUGACGACCACUGGCUAUUCUAGACAGUCUUGUGGAAACAUUAGCAGGUUCGCCACCUGUAGGUGUUAAUGAACUUGGGUGUUCAUUCGCUGUACUCCAUCCCCCUCAUGGUUGCCUUAUUUGACUUAUAUUGCUGAGGUACCCCCGAAGCAUGUGUUGUCGCCCCGAUGAAAUAUUCUUAGACUAGGUCCCUUAUGUUAGUUGUUUUAGGGACAUUAAAGUGAGAAUAACGGGAAUGGGUAAUUGGGUUAUUGUUGGUUGGUGAAAAUUAAAUAUGAUAUUUAUUGUGGGUUGAAAACCCUAUAUGCUCACCAGGCUCCCAAGCCUGACCCACUCAGUUUUAAAUUGUAUUACAGGUAGUGGCGGAAGGGCAUGAGAUGGAUGAACCAUCAAGUUGUUUUGUUUACAAGUCUGCAUAUGUUUAUAUUUGUUAUAUGACUUGUAAUGUAUUCGUUUAUGCUUAUUGGUCUGUAUCGGAACAUGACACCCCGAGUUUUGAUUAUAAUGAAAAUACAUUUCUUUUAUGAAAUGCUUCGGUAAACAAUGUUUUAUCAUGUUUUGUUUUUGGGAACAAAUUCCGCAACUCUUUCAAAUCAAAAGGAUUUACUCUGAAAAUAUUUAAAAGCAUAAAUGAAAAUCGGUCUUUUCUGGCCGAGAUUUUGGGGAUGUCACAGUUGGUAUCAGAGCAUUAGUUUAAGCGAACUAGGAAUUUGUAGGAUUUCUAGACUUAAACUUAGAAUGCUAAGUGAAGUUUUGAGAUGUGUGUCUGUUGUGAUUUAGACACGAGCACUAGUUUAUUUUAGGAAAGUUGCCUAAAAUGCUUUAUGUGCUAAAUGUUAUAUGUUGCCAUAUAUGAUAUUAUUUGUUCGGAUCUAUGGUCUGUUGCCGACCGGAUCUAGAAACCUUAUGUGUGUAGGAUUCUAAGCGUACGUCUACGAUAUUAGAACUAGCAUGUAAACGUUUCGGAGUGAUAAGGAUGAUUUGAAUAUCUAUCAUGAUUGAGGAUCUAAUUUCACCUUAUUCGGUGUAGAUCAAAAUGGUGAGAACAAGAAGUGGAGUUGGAAAUGCUGACGAAAACAGGAAUCAACCACCAGUGAUUGAGCCAAUACCUGUCGUAGCAGCAGCACCUGAGCCAAUAACCAUGGCUGGUGUGCAAUUGAUGAUUCAGACGAUGUUGGAUCGUCAGAUGGAUGAAACUAGACGGUUGCUUCAACAAAAUCGUGAAGAACUGUCGAUUCGUGUGGAAGAGCCUGAACUGAAUGAAGGGCACUCGGAAGGUGGAAACUUCAGUGGGUCUGUUGGUCCAGCCAACCCACCGAUAGUUAGGCAAGAUAACCAUGAUGGAAGGAAUGAUGGAAUGGGAUGCAAGUACAAGGACUUUUUGACUUGUAAACCAUCGACCUUCAAUGGAAAGGAGGAUCCGAUUGGGGUUAUGGAUUGGAUCUCCGAAAUGGAGUUAGCCUUUAUGACAUGUGGCUGUAGAGGCAAGUUGCAGACUAUCUAUGCCGUGCGACAAUUCCGAGGUGGAGCCGUUCGUUGGUGGAACACUCUAGGGAAGACCUUAAGCCCUAAUGAGCCACUGCAAUUGUCAUGGGCAGAGUUCUUGGUGCAGUUCAAGCGCAAGUUCUGCUCGGCUCAAAAUCUGUUGGAGUUGGAGAACAAGUUUUUGACAUUGACGAAGGGUAGCAUGUCAGUGGAUGAGUACACCAAUAACUUCACCGAUAAGAUGGAGUUUGCCUUGCGUAUCGUUCCAGACGAGCUGACAAAGGUGGAUCGGUAUGCGAAGGGACUUCCAUGGGAGUACGAGGUGCCGGUACGUCAGGCACUUACUCUAGAGGCAGCUAUCUGGGCUGCCAAGUCUGUGGAGAACAUGAUCAAGGGGAGAACCACCGUCAAGGUUGAGGUUGGUGAGAAAAGGAAGUUUGAAGGAACAUCUGGUUCCAGUAAGAAGAGCAAAUUUUCGAAAUCUGAUUCGAAAAAGUUUGGAGGAAAAGGAGGCGAAGCAAAGUGGUGUGAUAAGUGUAAGAAAAAGCACUUUGGGAAAUGUAGCGAGGAUGUGACCUGCUACAAGUGUGGAAAGGUUGGACAUUUUGCCAAUGAAUGUCCGAACAACAAAAGGAUGUGUUUUGGGUGUAAUGAAGAGGGGCAUAUUUUGAAAGACUGUCCGAAGAAGAAGGAGGCAGCUAGGCCCAACAUUCCACCAAAGCCGAAGGCGAGAGCCUUCCAGAUGACACUUGAGGCUGCGAAAGAUGAAGCUGAUGUCGCUUCAGGUACCUUUCUCGUAAACGAAUUACCUGCUCAUAUAUUGUUUGAUUCUGGAGCCAACUACUCCUUUAUUUCGCAUGAGUUUGGUAGAAAGCUAGCUUUGCCUGUUGAUAGACUAGAUAAUGCUUUAUUAGUCGAAGUAGCUAGUGGCAAGUUUGUACCUGUUAGCCAUCGUAUGAAAAACGUCUUGAUCGACCUUAAUGGGAAUAAGUUUCUCGAGGAAUUAUUGCCUAUCGAACUAAAUGGUUUCGACAUCGUCUUGGGAAUGGAUUGGCUUAGCGCCAAUGAUGCCGAAAUUUUGUGCAAGAAGAAGAUAGUUAAAGUAAACCCGCCUGGGAAAGAUUCGUUUAUGGUGUAUGGGGACAAACGCAGAGUGAAUUCUGGAAUCAUUUCUCUAAUGAAAGCCAGAAAGUGUUUGACCAAGGGAUGUACAUCAUAUUUAGCAUUCGUGAUUGAUGCUAAGAAAGAAAAGAAGGUGAUGCAGAGCAUUCCAGUGGUGUGUGAUUAUCCGGAAGUAUUUCCCGAGGAUCUUCCUGGAUUACCACCUGAUAGACAAGUGGAGUUCAGAAUAGACUUGUUACCAGGAACCACGCCAAUAGCAAAAGCACCUUAUCGAUUAGCACCGACGGAGAUGAAGGAGCUGAUGAUGCAACUUCAGGAGUUAUUGGACAAAGGUUUCAUUAGACCUAGUUCAUCGCCCUGGGGAGCUCCGGUGUUAUUUGUAAAGAAGAAAGAUGGAAGUAUGAGAAUGUGCAUCGAUUACAGAGAGCUGAACAAGGCAACAAUAAAGAAUAGAUAUCCGUUGCCGAGGAUUGAUGACCUGUUUGAUCAAUUGCAAGGUUCGAGCUAUUUCUCGAAGAUCGAUCUUAGGUCAGGAUAUCAUCAGCUGAAAGUAAGAGAGCAAGAUAUCGAGAAGACUGCAUUCAGAACUAGAUAUGGACACUACGAGUUCUUGGUUAUGUCGUUUGGACUAACCAAUGCUCCAGCAGCGUUCAUGGAUUUGAUGAAUAGGGUUUGUAAUCCUUUCCUUGAUAAAUCCGUGAUAGUGUUCAUAGACGACAUUCUGAUCUACUCGAAAAGCCAGGAGGAGCAUGGCAGACACUUGCGAGAAGUGUUAGAAGUUUUGAAGAAGGAGAAGCUUUAUGCGAAGUUCUCCAAAUGUGAUUUUUGGAUUCGUGAGGUCCAAUUCUUGGGUCACGUGGUCAACCAAGAAGGGAUAAUGGUUGAUCCAGCGAAGAUCGAAGCUGUGACGAAGUGGGAACAACCGAAAAGUCCCACGGAGAUUCGAAGCUUUUUAGGAUUAGCCGGAUAUUACCGAAGGUUUAUCCAAGGCUUUUCUUCGAUUGCUACUCCAUUAACAGCUUUGACCCACAAAGGAGCUACUUAUGCUUGGAGUGAGAAGCAUAAAGAAGCAUUCGAGAAGUUAAAGAAGAAGCUAUGCGAGGCACCGAUACUUUCUCUACCCGAUGGAGUUGAAGACUUCGCUGUUUAUAGCGAUGCGUCUGGUGUUGGAUUGGGUUGUGUUUUGACCCAAAGAGAAAAGGUGAUAGCAUAUGCGUCUCGACAGCUGAAAGAGCAUGAAAAGAAUUACCCGACUCAUGAUUUGGAGUUGGCAGCGGUAGUUUUCGCUCUGAAAAUAUGGAGGCAUUACCUCUAUGGCACGAAGUGCAAACUUUUCACUGAUCAUAAGAGUCUCCAAUACCUCUUUAAUCAGAAAGAAUUGAAUAUGAGGCAACGACGCUGGCUAGAAUUACUUAAAGACUACGACUGCGAGAUACUUUACCACCCCGGUAAAGCUAAUGUUGUUGCUGAUGCUCUCAGUCGGAAAGUCAAUCUUGAAAGGAAGAGGCCAAGAGCGUUGAGAAUUGAAGUUGUCUCGACUAUUGUGGAAAGUAUAAAGAAAGCUCAAGAGGAAGCUUCUGAGAAAAAUGACCGAAAGGAGGAACGUUUGGGUAAAACGUUGGUGUUUGGUACUAACGGUCAUGGACUGAAGGUAUUCCAAGAUCGUAUUUGGGUACCUAAGUCAGGAGGAAUUAGGGAUCUUCUGAUGGAAGAAGCUCACAAAACCAUGUACUCAAUUCAUCCGGGUAGCACUAAAAUGUAUAGGGACCUGAAACCCUACUACUGGUGGCCGACGAUGAAGCUUGAUGUUGCAAAGUAUGUGGCCGAGUGUGUGACUUGUGCGAGAGUCAAGACACAACAUCAGAAACCUUACGGGAGUUUAGAACCAUUGCCUGUGCCUAUGGGUAAGUGGGAAGACAUUGCUAUGGAUUUUGUCACUAAACUGCCCAGAACAAAGAAUGGUCACGACAUGAUUUGGGUGGUCGUUGAUCGAUUCACUAAGAGUGCGCAUUUCAUAGCGGCCAGGGAGAAAUGGUCUAUGGAAAAGCUUGCGAAUUCUUACGUGAAGGAAAUUGUGAGGCUUCACGGUGUUCCGUUAACGAUUGUAUCGGAUCGUGAUAGCCGUUUCACCUCAAGGUUUUGGAAAAGUCUACAAGAGGAAAUGGGUACCAAGUUAUGUUUAAGCACAGCUUACCAUCCGCAGACUGAUGGUCAGAGUGAAAGAACAAUACAAACACUUGAAGAUAUGCUGAGAGCAUGUACCUUGGAAUUCCUAGGUAAUUGGGAUGAACAUUUACCGUUGGUAGAAUUUUCCUAUAAUAAUAGUUUUCACUCGAGCAUUAAGAUGGCACCUUAUCAAGCUUUGUAUGGACAGAAGUGUCGUACGCCGUCUUGUUGGCUUGAGGCUGGGGAAAAGCAGUUUAUGGGACCGGAGAUGGUUCAUCAAACUGCUGAAAAGUUGAAAAUAAUUAGGGAAAGAAUGUUAGCAGCUCAAGAUCGUCAAAAGAGCUAUGCUGACAAGAAGCGAAGACCGAUGACUUUUGAGGUUGGAGAUUCGGUUUUGCUUAAAGUCUCGCCGUGGAAGGGACUUAUAAGAUUUGGUAAAAGGGGAAAGUUGAGUCCAAGGUUUAUUGGACCGUUUAGAGUCCUUCAGAGGAUUGGGAACCAAGCUUACAAGCUCGAAUUACCCGAAGAACUGAAUGGAAUUCACAACACCUUUCAUGUGUGUUAUUUGAGGAAGUUCACGGGAGAAGUUCCCGAUAUAAUUCCAAUUUCUGAAUUGAGAAUUGAUGAGAACAAAAGGUUGAUUGAAGAACCAGAGGCAAUUGUUGACCGAAAGACUAAGAAGUUGCGACGCAAAAUGGUUGGGUUAGUGCUUGUCCGAUGGAAACACACGAAUGGGCCGAAUCUCACCUGGGAGACGGAGAGUGACAUGUUGAGUCGCUAUCCGCAUUUGUUUGUUGAUGUGUGAUUCCGGGGACGGAAUCAUUCUAAGGUGGGGAGAAUUGUAACGCCUAUGUUUUCGGGCUUGCCAUUUUUAGCAAUGUAAUGGUCUAGGUUAACCUUUGUAACCCGUUUUGAAAUAAUAAGAUUGUAUUAUUUGAGUAUUAUGUGUUUUGUGCUUAAUUGCUUAAUUAUGUGGUUUGAUUAAUUAAGAAUAAAAAUAAGCGUCAAAAUUUAAGUGUAAAAUAAACUUAAUAUAUUUGGUUAAUGUUGUAGUAGUUGAAACGAGGUUUCCGAAUAUAUAUAGAACGCCCAAAUCUGACUUCGUAUGAGGAAGUUAUGAUUUAUCGAAGUUCCGGCUUAGCGAUAUACAGCCUGUUUUACUCGAUUUGAGAUCGAGCGGUUGUUAGCCGAAGCAAUCUAAAUGAGAAUCGAAGAUCUCAUUGUUGGUAUUGAAACGAUAAAAAGUUAGGCGAGAACGGACGUCAAACGAAGAAGUUAUGAAUUUAUAACGAAAGUUUCUGUCCCGGCCUAUUAAAAAUAAUUAAUAAAAAUAAAGUCAAAAUUAGCCGACGGAGUCUAAACGAAAGUCGUAGAGCGUGGUCUCACCUUCGCGUGGAUAUAAAGAACGUCGAAAACGGAGUUCGUAUGAAGAAGUUAUGAAUUUCCGAAGUUUAUUAAUCAUUUUGUAUUUAUAUUUAAAUCAAAAUUCGGAAGCAUUAUCCGAAGGAGUCACCGAUCUGAUCCGAGGUACGCCCCGCGUACUCGAGUACGCCCCGCGUACUCCGAGGGAUGUCGACACUCGCACUCGAGCACUUCGGAUACGUAAGCAAUGACGUUUUGGGCAGUACGCCCCGCGUAACGCAGUACGCCCCGCGUACUCCGAGGCUCCAGCCUCCUAUAAAUAGGAUGCGAGGGUUCCGGGUAUUUUUGCCAAUUCCCUCUCGUUUUCGUGUCGAAGCUCUGUGCAAAAACCCCCGAAGCUACCCCGAAGUCCCGGUAUCAUACUCUAGCCCCGAGGCAAGUCCCGAGAUCCCGAAGAUCCCGAAAAGUGCGGUUCCCGAGUCGAAGCUCUGCCCGCGAGAAGUUCGAUUUUCGAGAAGAUCUUCCAGAUCUGCUGUGGAUUACUACUUCUAUAAGCCGUAGUGCUGUCCGAUCAUCUUCUGAUCAAGUGAGUGUGUAGUUAUUUCUUCUAAUACAAUAAUACGAAGUAUUUUAUAUAAAAAUACGUGCUAUGUGUAUAUAUUUGGUUGUGUUAUGUGUGAAUGAGUAUUCACUCUCUUCUAUCUUAUAGAUCUGCUUAUUUCUUUAUGAGAUAUGUGUUAUGUGUGUGUGUGCCUCAUCUGUUAUGUGAUAUAUGUGUUGAUUAAAGCAUGCUAUACAGGUUUUCUUUAAACUAUGUAUACAAAUGUAUAUUUUUAUCUACUAAUAUGUUGGGUAGAACAUGGGUAGACAGUUGGUGUGUAAUAAACAGAUGAGAGGCCUCGUUGUUGUUUGAUUGAGUCAUCUAGCGGAGUUUAGAUGACGACCACUGGCUAUUCUAGACAGUCUUGUGGAAACAUUAGCAGGUUCGCCACCUGUAGGUGUUAAUGAACUUGGGUGUUCAUUCGCUGUACUCCAUCCCCCUCAUGGUUGCCUUAUUUGACUUAUAUUGCUGAGGUACCCCCGAAGCAUGUGUUGUCGCCCCGAUGAAAUAUUCUUAGACUAGGUCCCUUAUGUUAGUUGAAUUAGGGACAUUAAAGUGAGAAUAACGGGAAUGGGUAAUUGGGUUAUUGUUGGUUGGUGAAAAUUAAAUAUGAUAUUUAUUGUGGGUUGAAAACCCUAUAUGCUCACCAGGCUCCCAAGCCUGACCCACUCAGUUUUAAAUUGUAUUACAGGAAGUGGCGGAAGGGCAUGAGAUGGAUGAUCCAUCAAGUUGUUUUGUUUACAAGUCUGCAUAUGUUUAUAUUUGUUAUAUGACUUGUAAUGUAUUCGUUUAUGCUUAUUGGUCUGUAUCGGAACAUGACACCCCGAGUUUUGAUUAUAAUGAAAAUACAUUUCUUUUAUGAAAUGCUUUGGUAAACAUUGUUUUAUCAUG
This 7779-nucleotide long non-coding RNA is filed under the name Lactuca sativa (garden lettuce). Its description in RNAcentral is "long non-coding RNA (LSAT_LNC002963)". The record is from RNAcentral. Lineage: Eukaryota; Viridiplantae; Streptophyta; Magnoliopsida; Asterales; Asteraceae.